This 428-nucleotide ribosomal RNA is filed under the name uncultured bacterium. RNAcentral's name for it is "bacterial SSU rRNA". It matches the Rfam family "Bacterial small subunit ribosomal RNA", at positions 354 to 774 of the family's 1533-position model. The record is from RNAcentral.
GCUAAGAAUAUUCCGCAAUGGACGGAAGUCUGACGGAGCGACGCCGCGUGGAUGACGAAGGCCGAAAGGUUGUAAAGUUCUUUUGCUGGGGAAGAAUAACCGCAGGAGGGAAUGCCUGUGGGAUGACAAGAACCGGCGAAUAAGCCCCGGCCAACUACGUGCCAGCAGCCGCGGUAACACGUAGGGGGCGAGCGUUGUUCGGAAUUACUGGGCGUAAAGGGCAUGUAGGCGGCUUGGAAAGCCUGGCGUGAAAGUCUGCAGCUUAACUGCAGGGGUGCGCUGGGAACUGCUGAGCUUGAGUGACGGAGAGGGAGCUGGAAUUCCUGGUGUAGGGGUGAAAUCUGUAGAUAUCAGGAAGAACACCGAUGGCGAAGGCAAGCUCCUGGCCGAUGACUGACGCUGAGGUGCGAAAGUGUGGGGAUCAAACA